AUGACUUCUAUGCACAGAGUUCUGCUAUCUGGCGCCAGCUUGAUUUUCUCCGCAAUGCUGGUUGUCGUACUUUCCCCUGUUGCCAGGCUGUCUGGGCCAAUUUGGAGUUUCAUCGCGUCUACGAGUUCCUGUCUCGGCUCCGUAAGGAGUUUGAGCACCGGCGUGCUCAGUUGUUUGCUCGUGGCCGUAUUUCUCUCAUGGAGGUGCUUUCUGAGAUUCGUGUUGAGGAGACUCGCUUAUGUGGUGCUGGUUUGA
This 255-nucleotide ribosomal RNA is filed under the name Triticum aestivum (bread wheat). Its description in RNAcentral is "partial small subunit ribosomal RNA". Lineage: Eukaryota; Viridiplantae; Streptophyta; Magnoliopsida; Poales; Poaceae. The record is from RNAcentral.